AAACUGAAACAGAGAAAGCCAAAAGACUGUUCUGAAUCUGAUGCAAGACGAUGUCGUUUGGUGCAAACCAUUUUAACCCUUAGUAUGCAACGCGGCAGCAACAACAUAUUGGACUGCACCGUUUCAAUUGAAGUGGAUUGAAGCACAACGUUUUUACUUUUUUCUUCUAGAAUUAUUGUUAUUCACAUUAGGGGUUUUAUAAGUGAAGGGGAGGGAAGAGAAUAGCAUCUGGAAAAUGGUUCCAUUUACAAAAGGGAAUCUAACAAAGACAGAGCUUGAAACAAAGCGGUGGAACAGAGGUCUGGAAACUUGGAGCCAGCAGUCGGCACAAUGUAACGCGGCAUGACACAACGACAGAGACAAGGAGUUUUCAAGCUUGAGAGUUGAGGGUGGCUCCAGGUUGGAGAGAAGAAGAGAGAAAUAGAGCAGGACAUCGAACAGUAUUGGGGGCUAGAUCUCAUGGCGGAUCUUCCUGUGUUGGUGACGCCAGCACUAUUUGCAGUAAUCUGAAGUGGAAUUGGAAACUGGAUCUGUUGUAGACGGUGGUUGGUAGCUUGAUGUAUGAACCCAAUCAACUUGGACCGGACUUGAGACGCCUCAAGCUAAAUUGUUUUCUCUUUUUCUAUUGAGUCAUUAAGUUGUCCUAGUGGGCCAGGCUUCUUUUGUUGGUUAUAAAAACUGGCCAUGGCCUUCUUUUGUUGUUGGCAUGUUGUUAGUCUCUAUUCUAGACUGAGUAAUAUAUGUAUGGGGAGGAGGGUCUGGAAGUGAUUAUCUAAAGGCUUAUUAAGAAUUCACUUGUAUUCUUGGAGGUUAAGUCUCUUAGAAAUGCCCUGUUAUCCUUUUACAGUAAUUGAAUUAAAAUCAAUUUAUACAUUUCUGUUACACUUUCU
This is a long non-coding RNA of Carya illinoinensis, 890 nucleotides long. RefSeq lists it as uncharacterized. NCBI's taxonomy places the organism in Eukaryota, Viridiplantae, Streptophyta, Magnoliopsida, Fagales, Juglandaceae. The record is from RefSeq and is a predicted model, not a curated record. The transcript has 2 exons.